GCUGCUAUGGCUCAGUUGGUAGAGCGCAUCCUUGGUAAGGAUGAGGUCAGCAGUUCAAAUCUGCUUAGCAGCU
This 73-nucleotide transfer RNA is filed under the name Clostridium sp. CAG:1013. It matches the Rfam family "tRNA". From Rfam's summary of the family: Transfer RNA (tRNA) molecules are approximately 80 nucleotides in length. Their secondary structure includes four short double-helical elements and three loops (D, anti-codon, and T loops). Further hydrogen bonds mediate the characteristic L-shaped molecular structure. tRNAs have two regions of fundamental functional importance: the anti-codon, which is responsible for specific mRNA codon recognition, and the 3' end, to which the tRNAs corresponding amino acid is attached (by aminoacyl-tRNA synthetases). tRNAs cope with the degeneracy of the genetic code in two manners: having more than one tRNA (with a specific anti-codon) for a particular amino acid; and 'wobble' base-pairing, i.e. permitting non-standard base-pairing at the 3rd anti-codon position. Lineage: Bacteria; Bacillati; Bacillota; Clostridia; Eubacteriales; Clostridiaceae. RNAcentral also lists the same sequence under 1 other name. The record is from Rfam by way of RNAcentral.